UUAGCUGACUGGAGUACUUGCAGCAGAUGCAGUGAUCUGGGACUCAGACACAGUAAUUAUUACCUGUCCUGGUUUGAGGUUUUCUUCUGAGUAAAGUGUGCACCAAAAUUUUCAAGCAUUGUCUCACAUGCAGGGAGUGCUCUAUUGCCCCAAAACUUCAUGCAGGAAGCUUACCAGGCACAGGAAAAUGAGUGGAGGAGUCCAAUUUGUUCCAGUGAAGUUCCACACUGCAGGACUGAAGAUGUUUCUUCAGUUCUUAGAUGGUGGGUGACUGGCUUGCUUCAAGAGUGAAGAAGAUAUUGCAGGAAUGCCGUGUGACAGCAGCGUGAAUCACUGGACUUGCUGCUUCUGGAGCAACGAUUGACUCAGGGGAUUCUGCUUUUUGUGAGGCUGCUGUUAUCUCCCAGCACCUGUCCUCAGACAUUGAGCUGUUGUGUCAGUGGCACUGAAUACAAAUGAUCCAGAGCUAACAGAUAGAAAAAGAAUCUUCAAACUGAGGAAAGGCAACUAGCAAUUAAAAAAAAAAAAGCCAACAAAAUGACAAACCACCCCUCAGUAAACUAUCUAGUUUUUCAGUUAAACUCAUGAGGAAAAGAAAUUUAUUUUGCUUCUGGAAAAAGCAAUCCUCCCUCAGAUCCUCUCUUUCUAAGAUUUUGCGUGCAGCAGCACAGCCUAUGCCAGAAGAGGCGACGGAUUCUUUUAGACCACUUUGAGAGGAGCAGUAAAUUUCGGUUCCCAAACCUGCUCCGAUGUGGAAGUUCUGAGCCACAGAAAAACCUUACACAGUUCAUGGACAUGGGCUGUCUGCUGGAAGAACUGCCAGGAAUGAUAAAAAUGAUAAUAAAUUUGCUUUUAC
This is a long non-coding RNA of Chroicocephalus ridibundus (black-headed gull), 856 nucleotides long. RefSeq lists it as uncharacterized. The transcript is spliced from 3 exons. The record is from RefSeq and is a predicted model, not a curated record. NCBI's taxonomy places the organism in Eukaryota, Metazoa, Chordata, Aves, Charadriiformes, Laridae.